GAUGAACGCUGGCGGCGUGCCUAAUACAUGCAAGUCGAGCGAACAGACGAGGAGCUUGCUCCUCUGACGUUAGCGGCGGACGGGUGAGUAACACGUGGAUAACCUACCUAUAAGACUGGGAUAACUUCGGGAAACCGGAGCUAAUACCGGAUAAUAUAUUGAACCGCAUGGUUCAAUAGUGAAAGACGGUUUUGCUGUCACUUAUAGAUGGAUCCGCGCCGCAUUAGAUAGUUGGUAAGGAAACGGCUUACCAAGGCAACGAUGCGUAGCCGACCUGAGAGGGUGAUCGGCCACACUGGAACUGAGACACGGUCCAGACUCCUACGGGAGGCAGCAGUAGGGAAUCUUCCGCAAUGGGCGAAAGCCUGACGGAGCAACGCCGCGUGAGUGAUGAAGGUCUUCGGAUCGUAAAACUCUGUUAUUAGGGAAGAACAAAUGUGUAAGUAACUAUGCACGUCUUGACGGUACCUAAUCAGAAAGCCACGGCUAACUACGUG
This 497-nucleotide ribosomal RNA is filed under the name uncultured bacterium. RNAcentral's name for it is "partial 16S ribosomal RNA". It matches the Rfam family "Bacterial small subunit ribosomal RNA", at positions 28 to 507 of the family's 1533-position model. The record is from RNAcentral.